GAUGAACGCUGGCGGCGUGCCUAAUACAUGCAAGUCGAGCGAACGGACGAGAAGCUUGCUUCUCUGAUGUUAGCGGCGGACGGGUGAGUAACACGUGGAUAACCUACCUAUAAGACUGGGAUAACUUCGGGAAACCGGAGCUAAUACCGGAUAAUAUUUUGAACCGCAUGGUUCAAAAGUGAAAGACGGUCUUGCUGUCACUUAUAGAUGGAUCCGCGCUGCAUUAGCUAGUUGGUAAGGUAACGGCUUACCAAGGCAACGAUGCAUAGCCGACCUGAGAGGGUGAUCGGCCACCACGGAACUGAGACACGGUCCAGACUCCUACAGGAGGCAGCAGUAGGGAAUCUUCCGCAAUGGGCGAAAGCCUGACGGAGCAACGCCGCGUGAGUGAUGAAGGUCUUCGGAUCGUAAAACUCUGUUAUUAGGGAAGAACAUAUGUGUAAGUAACUGUGCACAUCUUGACGGUACCUAAUCAGAAAGCCACGGCUAACUACGUG
RNAcentral lists this ribosomal RNA (497 nucleotides) under uncultured bacterium. RNAcentral describes it as "partial 16S ribosomal RNA". It matches the Rfam family "Bacterial small subunit ribosomal RNA", at positions 28 to 507 of the family's 1533-position model. The record is from RNAcentral.